Molecule: non-coding RNA, 190 nt
Filed under: Virgibacillus natechei
Lineage: Bacteria; Bacillati; Bacillota; Bacilli; Caryophanales; Bacillaceae
Description: 6S RNA
Rfam family: 6S / SsrS RNA
About the family: E. coli 6S RNA was the first non coding RNA to be sequenced, but its function was unknown until recently. It consists of 184 nucleotides that fold into an extended hairpin structure with a large single-stranded internal bulge. The 6S RNA specifically associates with RNA polymerase holoenzyme containing the sigma70 specificity factor.
Source: RNAcentral
UCAAUCCUGAUGUGUUCGUCUAUUAAAAGUGUUUUGACCGAACACCUAUAUACUUGGGAGCUUAACUCGUUUCUGGGUUGCAUGCAUGCCUCGUUUUUAAACAGAGGAAGCAUAAAAAACCUAGAGCAAAGCACCCACCUGCCUAAAGCGGGAUCAAAACUUACAAUUAGACGGCACGAUUGGGAUUGAU